UGGGGAAUAUUGGACAAUGGGCGAAAGCCUGAUCCAGCCAUGCCGCGUGUGUGAAGAAGGUCUUCGGAUUGUAAAGCACUUUAAGUUGGGAGGAAGGGCAUUAACCUAAUACGUUAGUGUUUUGACGUUACCGACAGAAUAAGCACCGGCUAACUCUGUGCCAGCAGCCGCGGUAAUACAGAGGGUGCAAGCGUUAAUCGGAAUUACUGGGCGUAAAGCGCGCGUAGGUGGUUUGUUAAGUUGGAUGUGAAAGCCCCGGGCUCAACCUGGGAACUGCAUCCAAAACUGGCAAGCUAGAGUACGGUAUAGGGUGGUGGAAUUUCCUGUGUAGCGGUGAAAUGCGUAGAUAUAGGAAGGAACACCAGUGGCGAAGGCGACCACCUGGACUGAUACUGACACUGAGGUGCGAAAGCGUGGGGAGCAAACA
This 427-nucleotide ribosomal RNA is filed under the name uncultured bacterium. RNAcentral describes it as "partial 16S ribosomal RNA". It matches the Rfam family "Bacterial small subunit ribosomal RNA", at positions 355 to 774 of the family's 1533-position model. The record is from RNAcentral.